This 688-nucleotide ribosomal RNA is filed under the name uncultured bacterium. RNAcentral's name for it is "bacterial SSU rRNA". It matches the Rfam family "Bacterial small subunit ribosomal RNA", at positions 94 to 802 of the family's 1533-position model. The record is from RNAcentral.
AGCGGCGAACGGGUGAGUAACACGUGAGUAUCUGCCCUUCACUCUGGGAUAAGCACUCGAAAGGGUGUCUAAUACCGGAUACGCACGCAUGUGGAAACUUUUCUGGGUGGGGGAUGUGCUCGCGGCCUAUCAGCUUGUUGGUGAGGUAAUGGCUCACCAAGGCUUCGACGGGUAGCCGGCCUGAGAGGGUGACCGGCCACACUGGGACUGAGACACGGCCCAGACUCCUACGGGAGGCAGCAGUGGGGAAUAUUGGACAAUGGGCGGAAGCCUGAUCCAGCAACGCCGCGUGAGGGAUGACUGCCUUCGGGUUGUAAACCUCUUUCAUCAUUGACGAAGCUCGCCGUUUAGGUGGGUGACGGUAGGUGGAGAAGAAGCACCGGCCAACUACGUGCCAGCAGCCGCGGUAAUACGUAGGGUGCGAGCGUUGUCCGGAAUUAUUGGGCGUAAAGGGCUCGUAGGCGGUUUGUCGCGUCGGGAGUGAAAACACUGGGCUUAACCGAGUGCUUGCUUCCGAUACGGGCAGACUAGAGGUAUGCAGGGGAGAACGGAAUUCCUGGUGUAGCGGUGAAAUGCGCAGAUAUCAGGAGGAACACCGGUGGCGAAGGCGGUUCUCUGGGCAUUACCUGACGCUGAAGAGCGAAAGUGUGGGGAGCGAACAGGAUAGAUACCCUGUUAGUUCACACGA